GUAUGCCCCACCACCUGUGGCCUUCUCAUAAAUAAUAAUUAAUUAAAAGAUUUGCAUACAUUAAAAGUCCAUACUAUAUGCACAAAAAUGUUUACAUAAAAUAACUGUGCUAACACACAAAAUACUAAACAAUUUUCCAAAUUUCAUUUUCAUUUUACCAAUAGAUCUCAAAUAGCUAAAGAUACUUUUGACUAACAUUUUCUGAAAUACUUUGUCACUAGUUUGGCAUGGUAUUUAGUUUGAAUAUGGCACACAAUGAAACAAGGAAUUGAAAGGCCAAUGAUCACACUGAGAAUCAAGAAGGAAAACAGAGCUUGUAGAUAGAGCAAAUAUUGGAACAAACAAACA
This 348-nucleotide unclassified non-coding RNA is filed under the name Hevea brasiliensis (rubber tree). The record is from RNAcentral. Lineage: Eukaryota; Viridiplantae; Streptophyta; Magnoliopsida; Malpighiales; Euphorbiaceae.